RNAcentral lists this ribosomal RNA (497 nucleotides) under uncultured bacterium. Its description in RNAcentral is "partial 16S ribosomal RNA". It matches the Rfam family "Bacterial small subunit ribosomal RNA", at positions 28 to 507 of the family's 1533-position model. The record is from RNAcentral.
GAUGAACGCUGGCGGCGUGCCUAAUACAUGCAAGUCGAGCGAACAGACGAGGAGCUUGCUCCUCUGACGUUAGCGGCGGACGGGUGAGUAACACGUGGAUAACCUACCUAUAAGACUGGGAUAACUUCGGGAAACCGGAGCUAAUACCGGAUCAUAUAUUGAACCGCAUGGUUCAAUAGUGAAAGACGGUUUUGCUGUCACUUAUAGCUGGAUCCGCGCCGCAUUAGCUAGUUGGUAAGGUAACGGCUUACCAAGGCAACGAUGCGUAGCCGACCUGAGAGGGUGAUCGGCCACACUGGAACUGAGACACGGUCCCGACUCCUAAGGGAGGCAGCAGUAGGGAAUCUUCCGCAAUGGGCGAAAGCCUGACGGAGCAAAGCCGCGGGAGUGAUGAAGGUCUUCGGAUCUUAAAACUCUGUUAUUAGGGAAGAACAAAUGUGUAAGUAACUAUGCACGUCUUGACGGUACCUAAUCAGAAAGCCACGGCUAACUACGUG